ACAAUAUUAAAAUGGAUACUAGAGAGAGAGGAUGGCAUGGAUUGGAUUGAUCUGGCUCAGGAUAUGGAUAUUUGCCAAACAGUAAUGAUGUGAGCACAGAAGAAUCUCCGUUGUUAAGACCCAUUACCAGGAAACGACCAGUGAAAGUAAACUGACUUAGCAAGUGUUGUAUUACUCUGUAAAGUGUGUUGAUUAGGAGAGAGACCACUAAGAAGACCAAGACAUAGAGAAUCUGAAAAUGGCAAAGGACAGGAGAGACUGCCCAUUGGCAUUGCUAAUACUUUGAAUGACAUCUUUGAUAUUCAGAUGGCUUCAGAAUGUUCCAGUGUUCAGAUGGAGAGCAUAUGAAGAAAUUCUGCUUUGCUGAGCCCCUGCGAAGACCUACUGCUGUAACCUGGUGCAGGGUAUUCUUCAUGUUCUUACAUCAUUCUGCCAGUUUUCAGGUUUCUUUAGUCUGUUUCUGAGGUUGAGCUUGUUGUGGAAGUUGUUCAUACUCACUAUGAUGCUGGAAUACAAUAUUCAUAAUUAUUUGACACUAGUUUUAGUCUACUGGCCCUGAUAGAGAUUUACAUUUGACUGACCUGGAGAUGCCAGAAGAGGAAAGUAAAGAUGAGACCAAUGCCAAAUCCCAUGAACCAAGAUACAAAGAGGAAUGAACCACACUUAAGAUGGCGUGAGACUUAGCCUCUUGGCAGUUUGGCUGUAAAUGGCUCAUUAUACCUGCCCCAGAUGAUUUGUGCAAGAAAAUGGACCAUUUGGUAUGAGAAUUGACGAGAGAAAUUAAACUACUCAGAGGAAUCCUACCCCAAUGCCACUUUUUCCACCAUAAAUUUAACUUGA
Long non-coding RNA from Cryptotermes secundus, 840 nucleotides. RefSeq lists it as uncharacterized. Lineage: Eukaryota; Metazoa; Arthropoda; Insecta; Blattodea; Kalotermitidae. The record is from RefSeq and is a predicted model, not a curated record. The transcript has 6 exons.